CAUGUCAUCAGCGCCUGCGUCUUGCGCCGGUGGUCGGCGCUCCAGUAGACGGUGGAGGGGACGAUGGUGGCGGGGCCGCAGGUGUAGCCGAGCCCGGGGCCCAUGAGCGUGAAGUUCUUGGGCAGCUUCACGGUCUUGUUGGUGGUCCCGGCGAGCCCCACGGAGACCUGGAACGCCGAGAGCGAGCCGGCGGGGUCCUGGCCGUAGGCGGAGAUGACGCCGCCACGGCAGCAGUUGGCGAUCUGCUGGUUGUAGGGGACGCCGGGGAGGAGGUCGACGACGGAGGGCGUGUGCUUGCAGCAGUGCGGGAUGCCGCCCUUGAACUUGGAGCAGUCGCCCUGCUCGGUCGCCUGCGCUCCCACGAUGGACCAGAUCACCUCCUUCUUGGCCCACGACCACCCCAGCGUCCACCCAGGCGCCAUGAUCUGGCGGUACUGCUGGUAG
This 444-nucleotide ribosomal RNA is filed under the name Triticum aestivum (bread wheat). RNAcentral describes it as "partial small subunit ribosomal RNA". The record is from RNAcentral. Lineage: Eukaryota; Viridiplantae; Streptophyta; Magnoliopsida; Poales; Poaceae.